RNAcentral lists this long non-coding RNA (1994 nucleotides) under Nicotiana benthamiana. RNAcentral describes it as "long non-coding RNA (NBEN_LNC023604)". The record is from RNAcentral. Lineage: Eukaryota; Viridiplantae; Streptophyta; Magnoliopsida; Solanales; Solanaceae.
AUCUAUCUCUAGUCUCUUCUAAAUAUUUUUGUCUCUUCCUCUUCUCUGAGGAGUCCCUGCAUCUUCUCCGGCGACCUUCUCUAUCAGAGACCAUGGAUUCCUCACCCCCUUCCACCAUUACAUCAUGGGUGUUCAAGGUUUUGAAGCAUGACCUCGACGGUUCUCUAUUAAACCUUCGCAGAUCUUCAGUUCUAUGGUUACUCCAGUAUGUUCUUGCAUACCCAAGGCAUUAGAAGCCUUUUUUGACCUCUUCGACUCAGGAUCGGUCCUUCUUCCAAAGUCGUUCACACUUCUAGGGUUUCUCCGAGACCCUAAGUUGUUCGAUGUUUUUUCUAUGUUUAUGUUCUUAUAUCUAUCUUAUGUUUGUGUUCUACUAGACUUCUAAAGUGUUUUCCCUAAAAACUUUCUUUUAAAAUCAUUUGUCUUCAAUUUAGGGUUUCUGUAAAGUUUUCGAAACAUCUUUCUGACUCUUUUUCUUCUUUUCUUUAUGUGUGUUUGUUUGUAUCUUGCUUGUAUGACUCCUUUUACUAUGCAUAUACUGUUCUGCUACUUUUCUUUUCUACUAUACAUGUGGCCACAUGUUAAUCCGUAGUAUAUUUUCAUUACUUUUCUACUAUCUGUGUUUUGUCGUUGAGUUUUUUUUGGUUUACUGGACUAUGUUCGUGUUUUGCUAAACAUGUUUCAUUUGCUUUUGCCUAAGUUAGUAUCACUUCCUUCUUCUGAGUUUGUUUAAGUUCCGAGCCUUUCUUAAAACAUGUUCUUCAUGCUUUAAAUCAGUUUUCUUUCCUUGUUGUUUCAAAAUUGCUAUCACAUCUGUUUUGCUUCUCAUAAGGCUCUGAAGCAGAACUUUAAGUCUGUUUCAAUGACCUGCCUUCUCGCCUCUAUGCAUGAUUUGAUUCGAAAACCUAGGAUUUAGGGAUUACUUUGGGAAUUUUGAUUUGGUGUUUGAGUUAGGGUUCCACUUUGGAACCUUGAACACUCACACCCACCAUGACUCUGCAAACUGAACCUGUAUCUCUUUUAUGAUUUUGAACUUCUCUCUUUUACAUAACUCGACAGUCUCUUCUGGAUUCACAUGUUUUGUACUUUAUAUAUGAUAACUCUUCUCUCAAGAUGUUUUCCAACAACUGAUUGAUUCGAAUCCCUUUGAUGGAGUUUACUGGAUUGUUCCGGAUUUUCCUUAAGUGAAUUUUUCUUUACCCUUUUCUCGACCUGAUUCAUUCAAGUAAGCAUGUGAAUUUUGGUUCUACUGAUUGAUUCCCUUUCCUUUUUCUUACUAACCGUGUGCCACUAGUCUGUUGCCUUAAAUAGCAUUUAUGCACUUACCCUUUAUUAUACUGCUAAGAAAAUAUUUUUGUCAAAUCUCUUUUCUUAUUUGUUUUACAUGUUUGAUUUUGAAUCCCUUAAUUAAAGGGAUUGCUUAUGUUGAUUGAUUGUAAUUGAUAUAUAGUUCCAUAAUUACUAUGAUUCCUACCUUACGCUCUACUUAUUUUUUAACUAUAAAUACCCGACCCUCUCUUUCCCAAAAUACACCUUCAAUUCAACAAUUAAAUACACAAUAGUUUUCUGACUUGCACACUACUGAAUACCUUCAUAGUCUACAUUCUGUCUUACUCUUUUUUGCUCUACUACUGUUCUCUGCUCCUGUUUACUUUUAUCCGGCUAAAAGCCAAGGCUAAUAUACUUCUACUGCUCUGUCUUUGCAUCCUGCACUUUCUCUUUACUGGUAUGUCUUGACUUAGUCCCCAUCAAUCACCCUAAUGUGUUUACGUGUAGUCUUUAUAUCUAUGCCUACUACCUGCAGAGUUUGACAUGAUCACAUGUUACUGUUUGCUUCAUUUUUCCUGUAAAUGUUAGAUGCAUACUCCCUUAUCCCCGAUGUGUUUAUGAAUAGGGAUUCAGGGCAUGGCAACAUGAAUUUUUGUCCAUGAACUAAAAUUUGACCCCAAGUAAAGAAUGUGUCAGUAUAUCUCAUUGUUGAUCAUGUCCUUUGC